Molecule: ribosomal RNA, 434 nt
Filed under: uncultured Blautia sp.
Lineage: Bacteria; Bacillati; Bacillota; Clostridia; Lachnospirales; Lachnospiraceae
Description: partial 16S ribosomal RNA
Rfam family: Bacterial small subunit ribosomal RNA
Source: RNAcentral
ACGGGAGGCAGCAGUGGGGAAUAUUGGACAAUGGGGGAAACCCUGAUGCAGCGACGCCGCGUGAAGGAAGAAGUAUCUCGGUAUGUAAACUUCUAUCAGCAGGGAAGAUAAUGACGGUACCUGACUAAGAAGCCCCGGCUAACUACGUGCCAGCAGCCGCGGUAAUACGUAGGUGGCAAGCGUUGUCCGGAUUUACUGGGUGUAAAGGGUGCGCAGGCGGGACUGCAAGUUGGAUGUGAAAUACCGAGGCUCAACCUCGGAGCUGCAUCCAAAACUGUAGUUCUUGAGUGGAGUAGAGGUAAGCGGAAUUCCGAGUGUAGCGGUGAAAUGCGUAGAUAUUCGGAGGAACACCAGUGGCGAAGGCGGCUUACUGGGCUCUAACUGACGCUGAGGCACGAAAGUGUGGGUAGCAAACAGGAUUAGAUACCCUGGUA